GAUGAACGCUGGCGGCGUGCCUAAUACAUGCAAGUCGAGCGAAGCGGGGGAGGGGGAGUAACAAGUGGAUAACAUCCUAUAAGACUGGGAUAACUUCGGGAAACCGGAGCUAAACCGGAUACUUAUAGAUUGAUCCGCGCUGCAUUAGCUGGUUGGUAUGGUAACGGCUUACCAAGGCAACGAUGCAUAGCCGACCUGAGAGUGUGAUGGGCCACACGGGAACUGAGACGCGGUCCAGACUCCUGCGGGAGGAAGCAGUAGGGAAUGUUCCGAAAUGGGAGAAAGCCUGACGUAGCAAGGCCGCGUGAGUGAUGAAGGUCAUCGGAUCGUAAAACACUGUAAUUAGGGAAGCGGUACCUAAUCAGAAAGCCACGGGUAACUACGUGCGAGCAGCCGCGGUAAUAG
Molecule: ribosomal RNA, 405 nt
Filed under: uncultured bacterium
Lineage: Bacteria
Description: partial 16S ribosomal RNA
Rfam family: Bacterial small subunit ribosomal RNA
Source: RNAcentral